GGAGAGAUGCCGGAGUGGUCGAACGGGGCGGUCUCGAAAAUCGCUGUUCCGGGUAACCGGAACCGGGGGUUCGAAUCCCUCUCUCUCCGCCA
RNAcentral lists this transfer RNA (92 nucleotides) under Bacteroidota bacterium. RNAcentral describes it as "Bacteroidetes bacterium tRNA-Ser". It matches the Rfam family "tRNA". From Rfam's summary of the family: Transfer RNA (tRNA) molecules are approximately 80 nucleotides in length. Their secondary structure includes four short double-helical elements and three loops (D, anti-codon, and T loops). Further hydrogen bonds mediate the characteristic L-shaped molecular structure. tRNAs have two regions of fundamental functional importance: the anti-codon, which is responsible for specific mRNA codon recognition, and the 3' end, to which the tRNAs corresponding amino acid is attached (by aminoacyl-tRNA synthetases). tRNAs cope with the degeneracy of the genetic code in two manners: having more than one tRNA (with a specific anti-codon) for a particular amino acid; and 'wobble' base-pairing, i.e. permitting non-standard base-pairing at the 3rd anti-codon position. The record is from RNAcentral. Lineage: Bacteria; Pseudomonadati; Bacteroidota. RNAcentral also lists the same sequence under 2 other names.